CUACGGGGGGCUGCAGUGGGGAAUAUUGCACAAUGGGCGAAAGCCUGAUGCAGCAACGCCGCGUGAGGGACGACGGCCUUCGGGUUGUAAACCUCUUUUAGCAGGGAAGAAGCGAAAGUGACGGUACCUGCAGAAAAAGCACCGGCUAACUACGGUGCCAGCAGCCGCGGUAAUACGUAGGGUGCAAGCGUUGUCCGGAAUUAUUGGGCGUAAAGAGCUCGUAGGCGGUUUGUCGCGUCUGCUGUGAAAAUCCGAGGCUCAACCUCGGACCUGCAGUGGGUACGGGCAAACUAGAGUGCGGUAGGGGAGAUUGGAAUUCCUGGUGUAGCGGUGGAAUGCGCUGAUAUCAGGAGGAACACCAAUGGCGAAGGCAGAUCUCUGGGCCGUAACUGACGCUGAGGAGCGAAAGCGUGGGGAGCGAACAGGAUUAGAUACCCGAGUAGUC
This 445-nucleotide ribosomal RNA is filed under the name uncultured bacterium. RNAcentral describes it as "partial 16S ribosomal RNA". It matches the Rfam family "Bacterial small subunit ribosomal RNA", at positions 339 to 795 of the family's 1533-position model. The record is from RNAcentral.